Molecule: ribosomal RNA, 793 nt
Filed under: uncultured Thermococcus sp.
Lineage: Archaea; Methanobacteriati; Methanobacteriota; Thermococci; Thermococcales; Thermococcaceae
Description: bacterial SSU rRNA
Rfam family: Archaeal small subunit ribosomal RNA
Source: RNAcentral
ACGGCUCAGUAACACGUCGGUAACCUACCCUCGGGAGGGGGAUAACCCCGGGAAACUGGGGCUAAUUCCCCAUAGGCCUGAGGUACUGGAAGGUCCUCAGGCCGAAAGGGACUUAUGUCCGCCCGAGGAUGGGCCGGCGGCCGAUUAGGUAGUUGGUGGGGUAAUGGCCCACCAAGCCGAAGAUCGGUACGGGCUGUGAGAGCAGGAGCCCGGAGAUGGACACUGAGACACGGGUCCAGGCCCUACGGGGCGCAGCAGGCGCGAAACCUCCGCAAUGCGGGAAACCGCGACGGGGGGACCCCGAGUGCCGUGGCAACGUCACGGCUUUUCCGGAGUGUAAAAAGCUCCGGGAAUAAGGGCUGGGCAAGGCCGGUGGCAGCCGCCGCGGUAAUACCGGCGGCCCGAGUGGUGGCCGCUAUUAUUGGGCCUAAAGCGUCCGUAGCCGGGCCCGUAAGUCCCUGGCGAAAUCCCACGGCUCAACCGUGGGGCUUGCUGGGGAUACUGCGGGUCUUGGGACCGGGAGAGGCGGGGGGUACCCCUGGGGUAGGGGUGAAAUCCUAUAAUCCCAGGGGGACCGCCAGUGGCGAAGGCGCCCCGCUGGAACGGGUCCGACGGUGAGGGACGAAGGCCAGGGGAGCAAACCGGAUUAGAUACCCGGGUAGUCCUGGCUGUAAAGGAUGCGGGCUAGGUGUCGGGUGAGCCUCGAGCUCGCCCGGUGCCGUAGGGAAGCCGUUAAGCCCGCCGCCUGGGGAGUACGCCGCAAGGCUGAAACUUAAAGGAAUUGGCGGGGGAG